Molecule: small RNA, 116 nt
Filed under: Arabidopsis thaliana (thale cress)
Lineage: Eukaryota; Viridiplantae; Streptophyta; Magnoliopsida; Brassicales; Brassicaceae
Description: ATSL184250
Source: RNAcentral
AUAUAUAUACACUACUACCUUUUUCUUUUAAGUUUUUAAAUGUUCUGAUUUUCUAAUAAACUAUGUAACAACAGUUGACAUCUGUAGCAGUGAAUGUUUUUUUUUUCUCUGUUUAU